RNAcentral lists this small RNA (337 nucleotides) under Arabidopsis thaliana (thale cress). RNAcentral describes it as "ATSL089280". The record is from RNAcentral. Lineage: Eukaryota; Viridiplantae; Streptophyta; Magnoliopsida; Brassicales; Brassicaceae.
AAGACAAGAUUUCAUCCCUCAAAAAGUUUUCCAAGUUCCACCGCUCGGAAAAAUAUAUUCAUUUUGGUGAAAUCUAAGUGUUGAGUUCGCUCUUCACAAGACUAGAUUUCAUCCCUCAAGGAUUUUUCCAAGUUUCACCUCUUGAAAAAAUGUAUUCAUUUUAGCGAAAUCUAAGUGUUGAGUUCGCUCUUCACAAGACUAUAUUUCAUCCCUCAAAGAUUUUUCCAAGUUCCACCUCUUGGAAAAAUAUAUUCAUUUCGGUGAAAUCUAAGUGUUGAGUUCGCGCUUCACAAGACUAGAUUUCAUCCGUCAAGGAUUUUUCCAAGUUCCACUUCUU